Molecule: ribosomal RNA, 449 nt
Filed under: uncultured bacterium
Lineage: Bacteria
Description: partial 16S ribosomal RNA
Rfam family: Bacterial small subunit ribosomal RNA
Source: RNAcentral
GUCGAGAAUCUUUCACAAUGGGGGCAACCCUGAUGGAGCGACGCCGCGUGGAGGAUAAGGUCUUCGGAUUGUAAACUCCUGUCAUGCGUGAACAAGGUUGCUUGGUUAAUACCUGGGCAAAUUGAUGGUAGCGCAAGAGGAAGAGACGGCUAACUCUGUGCCAGCAGCCGCGGUAAUACAGAGGUCUCAAGCGUUGUUCGGAAUCACUGGGCGUAAAGGGUGCGUAGGUGGCGUGGUAAGUCAGAUGUGAAAGCCCGGGGCUCAACCUCGGAACUGCAUCCGAUACUGCCAUGCUAGAGUACUGGAGAGGUGACUAGAAUUCUCGGUGUAGCAGUGAAAUGCGUAGAUAUCGAGAGGAAUACCAAAGGCGUAGGCAGGUCACUGGACAGUUACUGACACUGAGGCACGAAGGCCAGGGGAGCGAACGGGAUUAGAUACCCCUGUAGUCC